GAAAAGUUUAAUUUUAGCUUAUGGAUUUUCUUUCUUUUUUAAUUUUUACAUGUAAAUUUUAGUGUGGAUAUAUAAAAAUUUAAAUAAUUAAUUUUUUUAAUCGCAGUAUAAAAUUUUAAAUAUUAAAGUGAUUUAGAUUUAGAAAUAAAGGUAAAAGUUAACUAAAUUUGUGCCAGCAGUUGCGGUUAUACAAAUAGCUUUAGAAAAUUUUUUUAGAAAUAGUAAAAUAAAUAUUUUUUAAUUUUAAUUUAAAUUUUAAGGUGAAAUUUAAAUUUAAUAAAAAAUUAAUUUAAUAGUUUUGAAGCUAAUAAAUUUAAAUUAAAGACUAGGAUUAGAUACCCUAUUAUUUUAAACUUAAUUUAAAAUUCUAAAUUAGUAAAAGUUAUGUUCUCUAAAAUUAAAAAAUUUGGCGGUAUUUUAGUCUAUUCAGAGGAACCUGUUCUAUAAUUGAUAAUCCACGAUUUAUUGUACUUAUCUUAUAAGUUUAUAUAUCGUCGUAGUUUGAAUGUUUUAUAAGAAUUUUAAAUGUUCAAGAUUUAAUAUAAUAAAAUAAAUCAGAUCAAGGUGUAGCAUAUAGAUAAGAAGAAAUGGGUUACAAUUAAUUUAUUAUUGGAUAAAUUUAUUAAAUUGAAUUUUGAAAUUGGAUUUGAAAGUAAUUUAAUAUAAUUUUUUUAAAUGAUUUUAGCUCUAAAAUAUGUACAUAUUGCCCGUCGCUUUCAUUUUAAAAUGAGAUAAGUCGUAACAAAGUAGAUUUACUGGAAAGUGAAUCUAGAGG
This 775-nucleotide non-coding RNA is filed under the name Trichodes sinae. Lineage: Eukaryota; Metazoa; Arthropoda; Insecta; Coleoptera; Cleridae. The record is from RNAcentral.